RNAcentral lists this ribosomal RNA (348 nucleotides) under uncultured bacterium. RNAcentral's name for it is "bacterial SSU rRNA". It matches the Rfam family "Bacterial small subunit ribosomal RNA", at positions 156 to 509 of the family's 1533-position model. The record is from RNAcentral.
ACGGCAGCUAAUACCGGAUGAUUCAUAACUAAGAAAACUAGAUGUGCUAAAAGGAGCUUCGGCUUCACCUCGGGGAUGGGCUUGCGUUGUAUUAGCUAGUUGGUGAGGUAAUGGCUUACCAAGGCAACGAUGCAUAUCCGAGCUGAGAGGCUGAUCGGACACAUUGGAACUGAGACACGGUCCAAACUCCUACGGGGAGGCAGCAGUUAGGAAUAUUCGUCAAUGGGGGCAACCCUGAACGAGCAAUGCCGCGUGAGUGAUGAAGGCCCCUCUGGGUUGUAAACUUCUGAUCUAAGGGAAAAAGAAAGUGAUGGUACCUUAGGAGAAAGCCACGGCUAACUACGUGCC